GAGCACCAGCCCCAGGAAGGGCUGAGAGCCUCACCUGCCCUCCAGGUACCAGCACAGCAGUCAAAAGGUCUGUGCAAAGAGCUGAGAGUUCUCUGAGAAGCAGCUCAAACCACGGCUGGUGCGGAAAUCGAGCUCGAACUCAAAUAAUCGGACUCCAAAAGAGUGGUUUCGUUUUCACACUUGUCAGAAGCCUGAUUUCCUGGAAUUGCCCCACUGACUCCAGAAGAGGAAGCCGCACCCACCGGAGAGCCGGGGCUGCUUAAAGUGGGGCUGGGAUCGGCUUCUGGCUUCCCGGGAGCUGCGGGGCUCGGAGGGAGAAGGAGAGAAGGAUUUCAGGCCUUUCCUUCCUGAUUCCUCCUGAGUUCUCCAGGGCUUCCCAUCACCUUCUCCACACCCCACCAUGUGCCCCAGGCCUGCCGCUGUGCUGUGCUGUGUCCCCUGAGCUGGGGCCCUCGGCUGCCGGUGUCUGCUGGGAAGCCAAGGCUGGGAGAAACGAGAGCAUCUGCUGAGAGGUGGGUGAGGGGAAUCAGAGCCCACAGGCCUUGCACAGAUUGCCCAAAUCGGCAGGAACUCCCCAGGGAAAGCUGCCCCUGAAGGCUCUGGAAGGCUGCAGGGGCCCUUGGAUCUACCCCCGAGUCCAAGCCCCUGAGAUCAAUACCUGUGUUGGUAAGGGAGUUGUGGCCUUGGUGGGACAGAAGCUGAAUGGUCAGAAGAAUUUUUUGCACUGAAUAAAUCGCUAGAGUAUCCAAGUGAA
Cyanistes caeruleus (blue tit) is the source of this 754-nucleotide non-coding RNA. The record is from RefSeq and is a predicted model, not a curated record. NCBI's taxonomy places the organism in Eukaryota, Metazoa, Chordata, Aves, Passeriformes, Paridae.